GUGCGUGACGUGCGCAGGCGCAUUUUGACCCGAGGCGCGCGACCGCCCCUUAGUAGGCUCACGGUGCCGCGUCGGCUCUGCGCUCGCUUUCUCGUCCUGCUGGUGUGAGGAGGUUGUUCCGCACACUCGGUUCCCGCCGGCUCCCUCCCCUGAAUCCCUGCAACCGCCGCUGCGAAGAUGAUGCAUGCUGCAUCCUGUGAGCCUCACUUCAUCUGCAUUUAUUUACAUUAAAAAAAACAACAACAACUGGAACAUGCUGGUCAGUGUUAGGACCUUAAGGACAGAUGUCACCCACUUUUGUGUACAGGUUUCUUUUCAGGCCUCAUGAGGCGCCCGGAGUGCAAGUUGCUGAUGAAGUAUGUCGCAUUUUUUAUGACAUGAAAGUUCUGGAAAUGCUCCACACCUGAGGAAAUUAAAAAAGAAAGAAGGCUGUCAUUUUUUGUCUCAGUGCAGACAAAAAGUGCAUCAUUGUUGAAGAAGGCAAAGAGAUCCUAGUUGGAGAUGUGGGUGUGACCAUCACUGAUCCCUUCAAGCAUUUUGUGGGGAUGCUUCCUGAAAAGGAUUGUCGCUAUGCCUUGUAUGAUGCAAGCUUCGAGACCAAGGAGUCCAGGAAAGAAGAGCUGAUGUUCUUUUUGUGGGCCCCAGAACUGGCCCCUCUGAAGAGUAAGAUGAUCACGCCAGCUCUAAGGAUGCGAUCAAAAGAAGUUCCAAGGUAUGUGCGGGACUUGGACCUUAGGGAUGUGGGGACCCCUGAAGCACCUCCAUUUUCCUGGGAGAGCAGCUUUGAGUAGAAAGAGAAAAGCCAUGCUUGUUCUGAGGGAGAUCCCAAGGCUGAGCCACUACUCAGGAAGUCCUCCACCUCAGCCACAGAGAUUGUGCAGCAGGGCGGCCUUAAAGCCCAGUCCCCUGGGCUGCCUGUCCCUCACCUGCUCUGACUGGUUCAGACCAGCGUCCCCUGUAGCAGGGAAAGCCUGGGGCCUCUGUGGCCAGGCUAGUGUCACUGUGCCGAUGCCUUUGAAUGUAGUAAUA
This 1029-nucleotide long non-coding RNA is filed under the name Heterocephalus glaber (naked mole-rat). RNAcentral's name for it is "lncRNA (ENSHGLG00000049638.1)". The record is from RNAcentral. Lineage: Eukaryota; Metazoa; Chordata; Mammalia; Rodentia; Bathyergidae.